AGAGUUUGAUCAUGGCUCAGAUUGAACGCUGGCGGCAUGCUUUACACAUGCAAGUCGAACGGCAGCGCGGGCUUCGGCCUGGCGGCGAGUGGCGAACGGGUGAGUAAUGCAUCGGAACGUACCCAGUCGUGGGGGAUAACACAUCGAAAGAUGUGCUAAUACCGCAUACGUCCUGAGGGAGAAAGCGGGGGACCUUCGGGCCUCGCGCGAUUGGAGCGGCCGAUGUCAGAUUAGCUAGUAGGUGGGGUAAAGGCCCACCUAGGCGACGAUCUGUAGCGGGUCUGAGAGGAUGAUCCGCCACACUGGGACUGAGACACGGCCCAGACUCCUACGGGAGGCAGCAGUGGGGAAUUUUGGACAAUGGAGGCAACCCUGAUCCAGCCAUGCCGCGUGAGUGAAGAAGGCCUUCGGGUUGUAAAGCUCUUUCGGCCGGGAAGAAAUCGCAUCUUUUAAUAGAGGGUGUGGAUGACGGUACCGGACUAAGAAGCACCGGCUAACUACGUGCCAGCAGCCGCGGUAAUA
This 522-nucleotide ribosomal RNA is filed under the name uncultured Thauera sp. RNAcentral's name for it is "bacterial SSU rRNA". It matches the Rfam family "Bacterial small subunit ribosomal RNA", at positions 8 to 525 of the family's 1533-position model. The record is from RNAcentral. Lineage: Bacteria; Pseudomonadati; Pseudomonadota; Betaproteobacteria; Rhodocyclales; Zoogloeaceae.